This 439-nucleotide ribosomal RNA is filed under the name Myrmeleon hyalinus. RNAcentral describes it as "bacterial SSU rRNA". It matches the Rfam family "Eukaryotic small subunit ribosomal RNA", at positions 1038 to 1438 of the family's 1831-position model. Lineage: Eukaryota; Metazoa; Arthropoda; Insecta; Neuroptera; Myrmeleontidae. The record is from RNAcentral.
GAUGCCAGCUAGCGAUCCGCCAAAGUUCCUCCGAUGACUUGGUGGGCAGCUUCCGGGAAACCAAAGCAUUUGGGUUCCGGGGGAAGUAUGGUUGCAAAGCUGAAACUUAAAGGAAUUGACGGAAGGGCACCACCAGGAGUGGAGCCUGCGGCUUAAUUUGACUCAACACGGGAAACCUCACCAGGCCCGGACACCGGAAGGAUUGACAGAUUGAGAGCUCUUUCUUGAUUCGGUGGGUGGUGGUGCAUGGCCGUUCUUAGUUGGUGGAGCGAUUUGUCUGGUUAAUUCCGAUAACGAACGAGACUCUAGCCUACUAAAUAGACGUACUUUAUUACCGGCAUCUCAAGGCCCAUCGGCUGUAUUGUUACUGAAUGUUAUUUGUAUAUUUUGUUGAUAUAUAUUUAUUAUAUGUAUGAUUGAUAAUAUGUGUGUAUUAUAU